UCUAGUGAUGAUGGCAAAGAGGUCACACCCGUUCCCAUAUCGAACACGGAAGUUAAGCUCUUUUGCGCCGAUGGUAGUUGGGGGUUUCCCCCUGUGAGAGUAGGACGUCGCUGGGC
RNAcentral lists this ribosomal RNA (116 nucleotides) under Psychrobacillus soli. Lineage: Bacteria; Bacillati; Bacillota; Bacilli; Caryophanales; Bacillaceae. The record is from RNAcentral.